GACGAACGCUGGCGGCGUGCUUAACACAUGCAAGUCGAACGGAAAGGCCCUGCUUUUGUGGGGUGCUCGAGUGGCGAACGGGUGAGUAACACGUGAGUAACCUGCCCUUGACUUUGGGAUAACUUCAGGAAACUGGGGCUAAUACCGGAUAGGAGCUCCUUCUGCAUGGUGGGGGUUGGAAAGUUUCGGCGGUUGGGGAUGGACUCGCGGCUUAUCAGCUUGUUGGUGGGGUAGUGGCUUACCAAGGCUUUGACGGGUAGCCGGCCUGAGAGGGUGACCGGCCACAUUGGGACUGAGAUACGGCCCAGACUCCUACGGGAGGCAGCAGUGGGGAAUAUUGCACAAUGGGCGGAAGCCUGAUGCAGCAACGCCGCGUGUGGGAUGACGGCCUUCGGGUUGUAAACCGCUUUCGCCUGUGACGAAGCGUGAGUGACGGUAAUGGGUAAAGAAGCACCGGCUAACUACGUG
RNAcentral lists this ribosomal RNA (468 nucleotides) under uncultured bacterium. Its description in RNAcentral is "partial 16S ribosomal RNA". It matches the Rfam family "Bacterial small subunit ribosomal RNA", at positions 28 to 507 of the family's 1533-position model. The record is from RNAcentral.